UCGACCUCAAAUCAGGUA
Molecule: ribosomal RNA, 18 nt
Filed under: Tomentellopsis sp. BB-2010
Lineage: Eukaryota; Fungi; Basidiomycota; Agaricomycetes; Thelephorales; Thelephoraceae
Description: partial 28S ribosomal RNA
Source: RNAcentral